UACGGAGGGUGCAAGCGUUGCUCGGAAUUAUUGGGCGUAAAGGGCGCGUAGGCGGCCUGGCAAGUGGAAGGUGAAAUCCCUCGGCUUAACCGAGGAACUGCCUCCCAAACUGCUUGGCUUGAGACCGGGAGAGGUGAGUGGAAUUCCCAGUGUAGCGGUGAAAUGCGUAGAUAUUGGGAGGAACACCAGUGGCGAAGGCGGCUCACUGGACCGGUACUGACGCUGAUGCGCGAAAGCGUGGGGAGCAAACGGG
This 253-nucleotide ribosomal RNA is filed under the name uncultured bacterium. RNAcentral's name for it is "partial 16S ribosomal RNA". It matches the Rfam family "Bacterial small subunit ribosomal RNA", at positions 524 to 776 of the family's 1533-position model. The record is from RNAcentral.